GACGAACGCUGGCGGCGUGCUUAACACAUGCAAGUCGAACGGAAAGGCCCUGCUCUUGUGGCGUGCUCGAGUGCCGAACGGGUGAGUGACACGCGUGUAACAUGCCCCUGUCUGUGGGAGAACACUAGGAAACAGGGGCUAAUACCGCAUAGGAGCUCCUGCUGCACGGGGGGGGUUGGAAAGUUUCGGCGGUUGGGGAUGGACUCGCGGCUUAUCAGCUUGUUGGUGGGGUAGUGGCGUUCAAAGGGUUUGACGGGUAGCCGGCCUGGGAGGGUGACCGGCCACAUUGGGCCUGAGAUACGGCCCAGACGCCUACGGGAGGCAGCAGUGGGGAAUAUUGCACAGUGGGCGGAAGCCAGAUGCAGCAGCGCCGCGUGCGGAAUGCCGGCCUUCGGGUUGUAAACCGCUUUCGCCUGUGACGAGGCGUGAGUGACGGUAAUGGGUAAAGAAGCACCGGCUAACUACGUG
Molecule: ribosomal RNA, 468 nt
Filed under: uncultured bacterium
Lineage: Bacteria
Description: partial 16S ribosomal RNA
Rfam family: Bacterial small subunit ribosomal RNA
Source: RNAcentral